GAAGAAUUUGACUAAUUUAUCAAAGAAAUAUCCUUAGAAGUUUGUAAAAUAGCUGCAUAGACAAUUGAGGUUUUUAUUAGUGUCCCCCUCCCUGACAGUGACACAGAUCCAAGGAGACCACCAUGGUCUUUGCACCAUUCCAAAAUACUUGUGGUAAAUCCACCGAUUAUCAAAUUUUUUUUUUUUUUCAGCCCAAAGAAAUUGCUUCAUUAAUUAUUUAGGUAAUUCAGUAGGAUCUCUGAGGCCCGUGGGAAUUCUGUGUGCUCCUUCUCUUCCUGCAGGGAGCCCUAAGGGGGCAGUGGCACUCUGUCACGGGGAGCUCUGGGUGCCUGCACCUGAUCUUCACCUCCACCCACCCUGGUGGCACUGCUGUCUCUUUGGAGGCCUGGCACGCCUGCUGCCCCCAGCAUCUGAUCCAGAUGCUCCUCCUCUGACAAACACAGCCUGCAGCUUCCUUCAGUUCUGCAAAGCUGAGGAGCAGAGCACAGCUCUGAAGGAGUGGGCAGAAGGAGUGGUCCUUCUCACUGACAGCUGCUCUUUGUCUAAGGAAAUGAAUAUGAUCCACUGUAAGGAUUAUUUUGACAAGCUACUUCUUAAAAAUACAGUACCCAGACUGGCAGGCCAGGUACUCCAGGCUUUUUGUAUGGCUUUUGAAUGGAAGAAAUAUGCCAAUAACUGAAGUCAGUACUGUAAAACAUGGAUCUUCCUGAGUGAAAGAUUCUGAUUUUCUUUAUUGUGACCUAAAGCAGAAGGUUGAAAUGUUUUCAAGUUCCAAUUCCCUCUGCUCGAGACCAUGAGCAAACAUAUUGAAGCUGAAGCAUCAGGCCUACCUGAGAGCUGCUAUGAGAUUCAGUCUCACUUGCAAGCUGUCUGCAGACCGUGUAGAAUCAUAGAACAAUUUAGGCUGGAAAUGACAUUUAAGAUCCUGUAGUCCAGCUGUUAACAUAGUCCAAGUCCACCACUAAACUAUGUCCUUAAGGGUCACAUCUGCAUAUCUUAAAUACCUCCAGGGAUGGUGACUCAACCACUUCCCUGGCAGUCUGUUCCAGUGCUUGACAGCCCUUUCAGGGAAUAUUUUUCCUAAUAGCCAAUCUAAACCUGCCCUGGGGCAACUUGAAGCCAUUUCCUCUUGUUUUGUUGUGUGUUACUUGGGAGAAGAGUCCAAUGCCCACCUUGGUACAACGUCCUCACAGGUAGUUGCAGAGAGUGACAAGGUCCUUCCUGAGCCUCCUUUCCUCCAGGCAAAACAAUCCCACUCCCUCAGCUGCUCUGCAUCUGACUUUUCAUCCAGACCCUGCACUACCUCUGUUGCCCUUCUCUGGACCUGCUCCAGAAACCUAAUGUCCUUUUUGUAGUGAGGGACCCAAAACUCAAGGUUUGGCCACACCAGAACCCAGUACAAGGAGACAAUAGCUGCCCUGGUCCUGCUGGCCACACUGUUUCUGAUAUAAGCCAGGAAGCCUUUGACCUUCUUUGGCCGCCAGGGCACUCUGCCAAUUGUGCAUAUAAGAGUCCAAAUAAGGUGUGUGAGUAGUGAGAACAUUGUUAAUGGGCAUUUUUGCCCACUCCAUAGACAUACUAGCUGCUUUCCUUUGCUGCACUGCGUAAAAGUGCUUUCAGAAAAAAAAAAAGUGGGCGAAGGAGUAGCACUUCUAACUGUAGGUGAAUAUCUCAGACAU
Serinus canaria (Common canary) is the source of this 1679-nucleotide long non-coding RNA. The record is from Ensembl. NCBI's taxonomy places the organism in Eukaryota, Metazoa, Chordata, Aves, Passeriformes, Fringillidae.